RNAcentral lists this ribosomal RNA (468 nucleotides) under uncultured bacterium. Its description in RNAcentral is "partial 16S ribosomal RNA". It matches the Rfam family "Bacterial small subunit ribosomal RNA", at positions 28 to 507 of the family's 1533-position model. The record is from RNAcentral.
GACGAACGCUGGCGGCGUGCUUAACACAUGCAAGUCGAACGGAAAGGCCCUGCUUUUGUGGGGUGCUCGAGUGGCGAACGGGUGAGUAACACGUGAGUAACCUGCCCUUGACUUUGGGAUAACUUCAGGAAACUGGGGCUAAUACCGGAUAGGAGCUCCUGCUGCAUGGUGGGGGUUGGAAAGUUUCGGCGGUUGGGGAUGGACUCGCGGCUUAUCAGCUUGUUGGUGGGGUAGUGGCUUACCAAGGCUUUGACGGGUAGCCGGCCUGAGAGGGUGACCGGCCACAUUGGGACUGAGAUACGGCACAGACUCCUACGGGAGGCAGCAGUGGGGAAUAUUGCACAAUGGGCGGAAGCCUGAUGCAGCAACGCCGCGUGCGGGGUGACGGCCUUCGGGUUGUAAACCGCUUUCGCCUGUGACGAAGCGUGAGUGACGGUAAUGGGUAAAGAAGCACCGGCUAACUACGUG